Long non-coding RNA from Zingiber officinale, 456 nucleotides. RefSeq lists it as uncharacterized. NCBI's taxonomy places the organism in Eukaryota, Viridiplantae, Streptophyta, Magnoliopsida, Zingiberales, Zingiberaceae. The transcript is spliced from 3 exons. The record is from RefSeq and is a predicted model, not a curated record.
UAACUCGUUGUCGACGCCGCUUUUUCCGCUGAGUAUUAUAAUUAUAGUCGUUUAUUAGCUACUCUUUUUGGUGAGAUUGUUAAUCUCUCUCUAAGAGGUUGGGUUGACAAACAUUUCAUCAUCAUUUAUCAAGGUGGUAGCAUUGGCAUCCCAUUUGAAGCACUAUACUCAAAGGAUGGCAAGUGUUGAGUUGCUUGUUGCUGGAGUUCUUGGUAACCCAUUUGAAAAUCUUUGUUUUUCAAAGUUCAUGGCUUGGGAGGAUCAUAUGUCGCAAAAGUUUGGGAGGGUAAGUGUAACUCAUCAGUUUUUGCUCGUUCUGGAUCAUGAAAUCUUACUUCGAAAUCUCUCCUUGAUUCAUGUCAUUGAAAUGUCAUUAAACUUGUGAAUAUUUAGGCUUAUUUUUCCUACUAAUGAAGGUUAGAGGAGUAUCAAAAUUGCUGAAAAUUCUUUGGCAGU